AAUCCCUCUUCCCUCUGCCCAGCCAGACUGGGACUGGGCAAUGCCCUCUUCCUCCUGUAGGUUUGGGCCAUGCCCCUUCCUCUGCACAAAUGGAGCUGGCCAGGCUGCCCCUCCACCCUCUUCCUUGCGGCCGUAUGGGGUCCAGCUGCACCCACUCUGGGCACUGGAUCGGGUGCACCGGGCAGCUCUGCCCUGCGGAGGAACCAGACACUGCCUGGGCAGCCCAUCGGCCAAAAAGGUAGAGCGCCGCUGCUCACAACGACCGCCGGCUCUGUCUGCUCGCGCUCCAGCACCGCAGUUUCACUCUCAAGACCAUCGAUGGCCGGGAAAGACACCCCAGGAGACUGAAGAACGGUGUCCCGCAAGGCUCGAUACUUUCUCCAUUGCUUUUCAACUUGUCCCUUGUCGACCUGCCUGACACCCAGGCCGAGAAGUAUGGCUAUGCUGACAGCCUGGCUCUGACCAAAUCAAGCAAGCAAUGGGAAGCCACUGAAUCCACUUGGGUUUUGUCCCAGGCUGGGUAGGGAGCGAGCCUGUCAGGGCUCGAGGCCACAGAGCUGCCACUGCAGCCCCCCCCACCCCCUCCGUUUCUCUUGCGGGUAGCCCGGCGCCAUUUUGUGCUUUCCUCCCUGCUAAAAUGGCUGUCAGGGCUUCCUCAUCUGUUAGCGUCGGUCUGUCCCACCUCCGUGUCACUCACAGCAGACGCGAGUCAUUGCGACUCCUACAGCCCCUCCCCUCCCUCGCGGGAUGCGUCCGGGUCCCAAGGGACCACCUGCCCCCAACUGUUCCCUUCCUCCACAACCUGCGCCAUAAAAGGAGCCGCCCCCUCACUCCUUAACCACCCUCGGCCAUCGCCACGGCAGGAACAGUCUUGCCCCGCAAAGCCCUUCCAACCACCCGUCACCGGGACAGGAACUGCCGCGCGUUUCUCAACACUAUGACAGGAAAUGAGCCUCUCCUCUCUCUAACCAUUGUGACAGGAAAUGUCUUCCUGGGGCCCCCUAACAAGACACACUUCCCCCACCACCCUGCUGCCAACACUGUGAGAAGAUUUCCCGCGUCCCUAACUCCCAGAUACAGACAAUGAGGGUAGGAAGGGACCUCAGGAGGUCACAUCUAGUCCAGCCCCCUGGUCCAAGAAGGACCACCCCAACGACACCAUCCCAGCCAAGGCUUUGUCUAGCUGGGUCUUAAAAGACCUCUGAGGAUGGAGAGUCCCCCACCUCUCUGGGGAGCCUGUUCCAGGGCUUCACCACCCUCCUCACGAGAAAGUUUCCCCUGAUCUCUAACCUCAGAUUCCCUUGCUGCACCUUGAGCCCAUUGCGCCUCCUUGUGCCCAGCCCAAUGCCCCCCAGAAAGCUGGCUGCACAUCCUGUCCCUGUUAAACCCCCACCCAGAGUCAGCCAUAGCUCCAUCCUCUAUUUUUUCCACUCCGAUUCCCCGCAGAGCCAGCUGUAAUUCCUGUUCUCCUUAUACACAGUGUAACAACCUCAGAGGCAGCUGCAGCUCCUGUUCCUGUUAUAUCCAGUCUGACCUCUCCCCCCCAAGAAUCAGCAGCAGCUCCUCUCCCCAUUACAUACAGCCCAACUUGCCCUUCCAGAAGCAGCUGCAGCUCCUAUCCCUGUUAUACCCAUCUUUGCCCUGCCCGGGGCCAGCCACAGCUCCUACCCUAUUAUACCCAGCCUGAUCUCCCCCUCAGAAAACCCACCCAAUAGAAACACCCCUAGUCCUUCUCUCAGGACCCUACUAACCAUCUUCCACCCCUUUCAGGAAACACACACCACCUGCUUCUCACUGAGUCUCUAAGUCCCAGCUGCCUGGUCCCCUAUACUUUCAUCAACAAGCCUGUUGGGUGUGUUCCCCUCCCCCUUCCUGACCACAUCCUCCCAUGUUUCUGGAACUAAUGAUGUGUAAGAUCAUUCGUUGGGCGUGUGACAACGAACUUGAUGACAAAGUUGUACAGCAUCAGGACACUGACGAGGUGAAAGCGCUCGCUCCUUAGUGGGACACUGCUGACAGGUCUCUGUGGGGCCAGGUUCAACUACAAAACCCUGUGCAGGGAAAACGAAGGGUGAAAUGGGGCAUACACAAGCGGCCCCCAGCCUGAGAUCUUCCCAGGAAGCCAUGCCAACGCCGGAAGAAAUGUCACGGACAAUGCAUGCCCAUCUCCGGAGACAGCCUCAAGGGGACAGCCACGAUGUCCAGCCCUUGAGCGUCGCCCAUCUCCUGCACACCCGGAACCGCCUUCAGCCUCUCGACUCCAAGACUCCCCACCUCCGCUCCUGCUUCAACCGGGCCAUGAUGGAACUCGGUAGCGAGCCUGUGUGCGUACAGGACAAUGCUUUUCUGGUGCUGCGGUGUGACGGCAAGGAGCUCCACUUCCUCUCUGGCAAUGGUGAAAAUCAGAUCACUGUGUGGCACGAUGGCCAAGGUGCCUGCUGUGAUGUCAAGGUCAAAGGGUGGUGGGCCUCCAUUGCCAGGUACCUCACCCGGCCCCAUGCCCACAAGGCAUCCCCACGCAGCCAAUUGGUGGCUGCUUCCUAGGCCAACCUCAGUGAAAUACCAGUCAAUGGACACCACAUCAGAACUUCACCCUUUCAUCAACUCAUUUGCAGUAACUUUAACCCUGCAAGAAACAGUGUUAGAGAUGACAUAGUUUGCAUACAUUUGUAGUCACUAUAGAAGUCUGAAGUCAAUUAUUCACAUCCCAUGCUCCCCCUUUUUGAGAACUGGCAGUCAAAAAUUGGUGUGUCCAUGUCCUAUAUGGAAGCCUAUUCCAAACAGAUUAAAGGGAAAUCUUUUUUGUAUCACUGAACCUUCCUAAAAACAAGGGGCAUAGCCUUAUUUGGGGGGGGAGGGGGAGUAUGCUAGUAAAUAUGGUAGCUUCAUUGUAACCACUGUUAUGACUUGCUAUGUGUGGAGUCAAUGCUUUCAUUUAUGUGCUAGGAUACACCUGCCUAGCAAUGGCUUUGAGGGGUAUAUGUGCAGCUGGGAAGAUACCCAGGUUUAGGUCAGUGAUGCUCAACCUUUUGGCUCUGCUGGGCAGAGGAACAGUGCAAGGUCUCUAUGGGGUCUUGGGUCAUGUCUGUGUCCCCUGUGUGCCAGAAUUGGGUCCCAGGAGACAGGAGCCAUCCUCUCCUGACCCCCAUGUGCUGGAAUUGGCCCCUGGAGCCACCCCCCAUGCAUUAGGGUUUAAUUUUAGGGUCCUGACACCACCCCAUCAUGCCCCCAUGCUUCAGGGGUCUUAAACACCACCUCCUACCCUCCAUGCACGAGGUUGGGGUCCUAGGGGUCCAGUGCCCUCACCCUAGGUUCCAGCCCUCACCCUAGGAUUGGGGGCUGGAUCUAGUGUACAGGGCCCAGGGCUCUGCAUGGGUCCAGAGAUUUGGCAGCGAGGGGGAGGGGUGAUGAAACAGCUCCCCCACUACCAAAUUAUUAUAAGUUUGGGGAGCCAAAUAGGCCAGAUGACAAGGCACCAUGAGCUCGUCCUGAGCAGCGGGCUGGGGAUUGAAUAUACCCACUUUAGGUUGGCACACUUGUACCUGAUUCAACAUAGUCUUAUUGACGCCCGAUGUGCAUAUUUUUCCCCAAAUCACAGUCCUCCAGCACUGGGACACUUGCUUUGAACAGGCACACUGCUUUCUUUUUCCUUGAAAUAGAAGCAUGAAGACACUGUGCUCUGUCCAUGCUUCUUUCUGGGACAGUAAGCGGGAAGGAGCAGAGUCGAGGAGAAACUCUUACCACCACUCUCAAAUUGGCAGCAGCUUUUUGCUGCAGAUUAACUCUAGAUGCUCCUGAGAUGGGUGGGGAAACAGUAGAUAUGCAUUUCAUGAGUUGUUUACGGGCGGAGUGUUUACUGUCUCAAAGGUACAGUUGAGACACAAUUUAGUUUGGUUCUCAGCUACCUGAACACUCAGAGAAGCGCUGGGGUUACAAGGAUGCUCCAUCCAGCAGAGGAAGGGAGAACAGGAAACUGGCUAAAGGUCAAUGCCAGCCAAGCUCUUCCAAUGCUGAUGGACCUCAGGAAGUAGUGAGUUCUCUAAGGCAUCUGAAGUGUCAUUGGCUGAUGUUGAAGGCAAUGGAGAUGUUCAGGAGAUGGUCUUGAGAAGGCAUGGGAGGGUGGGCCUUGUCAGUAAUUGACUCAGUUCUGGCGGGAAGAAUGUAACUGAACCUCUUGCCAGUUGGGAACAAUUCACAAAAUCAUGUCUGCCAAAAGGAUUUUCAGCCAUGUGUCUUGAACCACUAACAUUACCUUGUGAUUUCACUUUUGUUUAUUUUACGUGAGAAACCUGACAAUGAUUUCAUCAGUCAAAGUUGCAGAGGGUGCUUUUGGCCAUCCUUAAAUAAGGUCCGGGAUUCAUCAGCCAGACACAGUAGUCAUUUUCAAAAAUAUAUUUAUCUAUCUAUUUACAUUUUUUAAAUGUUUGGAUCAUCAAAACUAGCAAGAGGAGCAAAAGAGCCAUAAGAAAUAGUGCCUUCUGUGUGCAUCUACAUGUGCAACUGAUGCGAUGCAAUAAACUUUGGAGCAAUAUGAA
Long non-coding RNA from Alligator mississippiensis (American alligator), 4535 nucleotides. RefSeq lists it as uncharacterized. Lineage: Eukaryota; Metazoa; Chordata; Crocodylia; Alligatoridae. The record is from RefSeq and is a predicted model, not a curated record. The transcript has 2 exons.